UACGUAGGUGGCAAGCGUUGUCCGGAUUUAUUGGGCGUAAAGGGUGCGCAGGCGGGAGAUUAAGUCGGCGGUGAAAUUUUGCAGCUCAACUGUAAAAGUGCCUUCGAAACUGGUUUCCUUGGGUGUAGAUGAAGUAGGCGGAAUUUGUAGUGUAGCGGUGAAAUGCUUAGAUAUCGCGAGGAACUCCGAUUGCGCAGGCAGCUUACUAAACUACUACUGACGCUCAGGCACGAAGGCGUGGGGAUCAAACAGGAUUAGAUACCCGUGUAGUCCCU
This 275-nucleotide ribosomal RNA is filed under the name uncultured prokaryote. Its description in RNAcentral is "partial 16S ribosomal RNA". It matches the Rfam family "Bacterial small subunit ribosomal RNA", at positions 524 to 798 of the family's 1533-position model. The record is from RNAcentral.